Molecule: ribosomal RNA, 300 nt
Filed under: uncultured Nitrospira sp.
Lineage: Bacteria; Pseudomonadati; Nitrospirota; Nitrospiria; Nitrospirales; Nitrospiraceae
Description: bacterial SSU rRNA
Rfam family: Bacterial small subunit ribosomal RNA
Source: RNAcentral
AGUAAGGAAUAUUGCGCAAUGGGCGAAAGCCUGACGCAGCGACGCCGCGUGGGGGAUGAAGGUCUUCGGAUUGUAAACCCCUUUCGGGAGGGAAGAUGGAGCGAGCAAUCGUUCGGACGGUACCUCCAGAAGCAGCCACGGCCAACUUCGUGCCAGCAGCCGCGGUAAUACGAAGGUGGCAAGCGUUGUUCGGAUUCACUGGGCGUACAGGGUGUGUAGGCGGUUUGGUAAGCCUUCUGUUAAAGCUUCGGGCCCAACCCGGAAAGCGCAGAGGGUACUGCCAGGCUAGAGGGUGGGAGA